CAACCUGGCGGCGUGCCUAUAAUGCAAGUCGAGCGGACCAUUGGAGCUUGCUCCAUUGGUUUAGCGGCGGACGGGUGAGUAACACGUAGGCAACCUGCCCUGCAGAUCGGGAUAACUCCGGGAAACCGGUGCUAAUACCGAAUAGUUUGCGGCCUCUCCUGAGGCUGCACGGAAAGACGGUUUCGGCUGUCACUGCAGGAUGGGCCCGCGGCGCAUUAGCUAGUUGGUGGGGUAAUGGCCCACCAAGGCCACGAUGCGUAGCCGACCUGAGAGGGUGAUCGGCCACACUGGGACUGAGACACGGCCCAGACUCCUACGGGAGGCAGCAGUAGGGAAUCUUCCGCAAUGGACGCAAGUCUGACGGAGCAACGCCGCGUGAGUGACGAAGGUUUUCGGAUCGUAAAACUCUGUUGUGAGGGAAGAACACGUACCAGCUAACUACUGGUACCUUGACGGUACCUCACCAGAAAGCCACGGCUAACUACGCGCCAGCAGCCGCGGUAAU
RNAcentral lists this ribosomal RNA (505 nucleotides) under uncultured bacterium. RNAcentral describes it as "bacterial SSU rRNA". It matches the Rfam family "Bacterial small subunit ribosomal RNA", at positions 36 to 524 of the family's 1533-position model. The record is from RNAcentral.